CCAACAGGGAUUGCCUCAGUAACGGCGAGUGAAGCGGCAACAGCUCAAAUUUGAAAUCUGGCCCUAGGCCCGAGUUGUAAUUUGCAGAGGAUGCUUCUGGCGCGGUGCCUUCCAAGUCCCCUGGAACGGGGCGCCAUAGAGGGUGAGAGCCCCGUCUGGUUGGCCGCCAAGCCUGUGUGAAGCUCCUUCGACGAGUCGAGUAGUUUGGGAAUGCUGCUCUAAAUGGGAGGUAGACCCCUUCUAAAGCUAAAUACCGGCCAGAGACCGAUAGCGCACAAGUAGAGUGAUCGAAAGAUGAAAAGCACUUUGAAAAGAGGGUUAAACAGUACGUGAAAUUGUUGAAAGGGAAGCGCUUGUGACCAGACGUGCGUCGGGGUGUUCAGCGGGCGUUCUCGCCCGUGCACUCGCCCCGGUGCAGGCCAGCGUCGGUUCGGGUGGGGGGACAAAGGCGUCGGGAACGUAGCUCCUCCGGGAGUGUUAUAGCCCAGCGUGCCAUGCCCCCGCCUGGACCGAGGUUCGCGCUCCGCAAGGACGCUGGCGUAAUGGUCCCCAGCGGCCCGUCUUGAAACACGGACCAAGGAGUCGAGGUUUUGCGCGAGUGUUUGGGUGUCAAACCCGCACGCGUAAUGAAAGUGAACGCAGGUGGGAGCUUCGGCGCACCACCGACCGAUCCUGAUGUUCUCGGAUGGAUUUGAGUAAGAGCGUAGGGCCUCGGACCCGAAAGAUGGUGAACUAUACGUGAAUAGGGUGAAGCCAGAGGAAACUCUGGUGGAGGCUCGCAGCGGUUCUGACGUGCAAAUCGAUCGUCAAAUUUGCGUAUGGGGGCGAAAGACUAAUCGAACCAU
This 845-nucleotide ribosomal RNA is filed under the name Thozetella aunstrupii. Its description in RNAcentral is "partial large subunit ribosomal RNA". It matches the Rfam family "Eukaryotic large subunit ribosomal RNA", at positions 65 to 943 of the family's 3401-position model. Lineage: Eukaryota; Fungi; Ascomycota; Sordariomycetes; Chaetosphaeriales; Chaetosphaeriaceae. The record is from RNAcentral.